CCUACGGGGGGCAGCAGUGGGGGAUAUUGCACAAUGGGGGCAACCCUGAUGUAGCGACGCCGCGUGAGCGAUGGAGUAUUUCGGUAUGUAAAGCUCUGUCAGCAGGGAAGAGAAUGACGGUACCUGACCAAGAAGCCCCGGCUAAAUACGUGCCAGCAGCCGCGGUAAUACGUAUGGGGCAAGCGUUAUCCGGAUUUACUGGGUGUAAAGGGAGCGUAGGCGGCAGGGCAAGCCUGAUGUGAAAACCCAGGGCUCAACCCUGGGAC
Molecule: ribosomal RNA, 266 nt
Filed under: uncultured bacterium
Lineage: Bacteria
Description: partial 16S ribosomal RNA
Rfam family: Bacterial small subunit ribosomal RNA
Source: RNAcentral